RNAcentral lists this ribosomal RNA (225 nucleotides) under uncultured bacterium. Its description in RNAcentral is "partial 16S ribosomal RNA". It matches the Rfam family "Bacterial small subunit ribosomal RNA", at positions 1278 to 1500 of the family's 1533-position model. The record is from RNAcentral.
AAAUAACGUCUCAGUUCGGAUUGUAGUCUGCAACCCGACUACAUGAAGCUGGAAUCGCUAGUAAUCGCGGAUCAGAAUGCCGCGGUGAAUACGUUCCCGGGCCUUGUACACACCGCCCGUCACACCAUGAGAGUUGGCAAUACCCAACGUACGUGAUCUAACCCGCAAGGGAGGAAGCGUCCUAAGGUAGGGUCAGCGAUUGGGGUGAAGUCGUAACAAGGUAAC